RNAcentral lists this ribosomal RNA (56 nucleotides) under uncultured bacterium. RNAcentral's name for it is "partial 16S ribosomal RNA". The record is from RNAcentral.
GGGGUUUGACAUGAUAGCGAAGUCUGCAGAGAUGUAGACGUUCGGGGCGCUAUGAC